ACGUAAUAGAUACCCCGGUAGUCCACGCCCUAAACUAUGAUAACUGGCUUUCCGGAGUAUCGACCCUCUGGGAGGCGAAAGCUAAACGCGUUAAAGUUAUCCGCCUGGGUAGUACGGCCGCAAGGCUAAAACUCAAAGGAAUAGACGGGGGCUUGCACAAGCGGUGGAGCGUGUGGCUUAAUUCGUCGCUAAGCGAAGAACCUUACCAGGGCUAGAAAUCCUACUGCAUACACUGGGAAACCAGAGUAGCCUUCGAGGGUGUAGGACAGGUGAUGCAUGGCUGUCGUCAGUUCGUGGUUUGAAUCGUUCCCUUCAGUGGGUAACGAACGCAACCCUCGUUGCCUGUUACUAAGUGUCAGGCGAGACUGCCCCCUCCACGGGGGAGGGAAGGGUGAGGAUGACGCCAAGUCAGCAUGUCCCUCUGAUGUCCUGGGCUGCACACGCGCUAC
RNAcentral lists this ribosomal RNA (449 nucleotides) under uncultured bacterium. Its description in RNAcentral is "bacterial SSU rRNA". It matches the Rfam family "Bacterial small subunit ribosomal RNA", at positions 772 to 1228 of the family's 1533-position model. The record is from RNAcentral.